AGGGAGAUUUUAGCCUCGGCUAAAUGGAACCGGCGCACGGGUGCGUAACGCGUACACAACAUGCCUUAUACUGGAGAAUAGCCUCGGGAAACUGGGAGUAAUCCUCCAUAAUAUUAUCGGGUGGCAUCAUUUGAUAAUUAAAGCUCAGGCGGUAUAAGAUUGGUGUGCGUAUGAUUAGCUAGUUGGUAGGGUAACGGCCUACCAAGGCGACGAUCAUUAGCUGGCGUGAGAGCGCGACCAGCCACACUGGAACUGAGACACGGUCCAGACUCCUACGGGAGGCAGCAGUAGGGAAUAUUGGACAAUGGGCGAAAGCCUGAUCCAGCCAUGCCGCGUGAUGGAUGAAGGCCCUCUGGGUUGUAAACAUCUUUUAUCAGGGAAGAAACAUCUCGUUUCUACGAGACUUGACGGUACCUGAUGAAUAAGCACCGGCUAACUCCGUGCCAGCAGCCGCGGUAAUACGGAGGGUGCAAGCGUUAUCCGGAUUUACUGGGUUUAAAGGGUGCGUA
Molecule: ribosomal RNA, 509 nt
Filed under: uncultured soil bacterium
Lineage: Bacteria
Description: bacterial SSU rRNA
Rfam family: Bacterial small subunit ribosomal RNA
Source: RNAcentral